UACGGGGGGAGCAAGCGUUGUUCGGAUUUACUGGGCGUAAAGGGCGCGUAGGCGGCCAGCGCAAGUCAGUUGUGAAAUCUCCGAGCUUAACUCGGAAAGGUCAACUGAUACUGCGCGGCUAGAGUGCAGAAGGGGCAACUGGAAUUCUCGGUGUAGCGGUGAAAUGCGUAGAUAUCGAGAGGAACACCUGCGGCGAAGGCGGGUUGCUGGGCUGACACUGACGCUGAUGCGCGAAAGCUAGGGGAGCGAAGCGGG
Molecule: ribosomal RNA, 255 nt
Filed under: uncultured bacterium
Lineage: Bacteria
Description: partial 16S ribosomal RNA
Rfam family: Bacterial small subunit ribosomal RNA
Source: RNAcentral